Columba livia (rock pigeon) is the source of this 4339-nucleotide long non-coding RNA. RefSeq lists it as uncharacterized. The record is from RefSeq and is a predicted model, not a curated record. NCBI's taxonomy places the organism in Eukaryota, Metazoa, Chordata, Aves, Columbiformes, Columbidae. The transcript has 3 exons.
UUAAGAGCCUCAGUAAAAUAUGGAGCAAAGAGCAACAGGGCAAUCUCAUAAAAUCUCCACACAGCUGAUGGGAAAGAACAGGGAAAACAGGAAAAAAGGUUAAUGCUGAGGAGCAGAAGGUCUGCCAAAAGAGCAGGAAAGCUGAAAAAACGCAGCAAGUCAGAUAUAAACAGGGAAGCAAGAGGGCUGGGAGAAGGCUUGAGGACUGUCCUGCCAAAUGUGCUCAAACCAGUGGUGAACAGUUCAGCAAAUCUACUGCAGGCAUCAGGAGACAAGCAGGAGGGACUCAUUAAUUGGAAUAGAAAUCCUGGAGGGGUUAUCCUGAAGAGACAAGCUAAUGUCAGUCAGUCCUGGACAGCUUGGAAGCAGCCAGGACCAGCUGGGCCAGAAAGGGAUGAGGCACGAUGACUGUCAGCAGGAGCAUGGUGAUGUCCUAGUGCUACCCUGUGCAAGGGGGAUGAGUCAAAGUUGACUCUUUCUCUCCAGGGGAGAUGCUGGGUGCAGUCUGGGAGAGAGGAGAUGACAACCUUAGGGCUGCCGGGAGACCCUCCAAGGAAGCAGCACUGCUGUGUGCCAGGACCUUCAAUUUUGGUGCUCUUUGCUCUCAGUGUUACCUCCACACAGGGAAAAUGAAGGAAUGCAUCACCACUGACACAGCAUUCCCAGUGCCCUGCUGGUCCCUCCUCCAGCCACCACCUGUGUACCCCCACCUGCAUCCCACACCCUGUGUGUGAGCCAGAGACAGCCGUGGCUUACAGCCCAUCAGCUUUGUGCCUGGCAAGCUGAGGGUGAUGCUUGCAGGACUCUGCCCCCAAAUGGCAGCCUAAGCUCAGCCCCAUCACUGUGCCAGACCCAGCUCUCUCCUGGAGAUCUCAUCUUGCCUGGCCUCAUUCCAGGGCUCUCCCUUGAGCAAGCACCUGUUUGUCAAUGCAGGCAGGAGGGGAAACAUGCUCUUUUUCUCAUGUUAAACAUAAACUGCUUUUCAAGAAGUUUCUCUGAAAGGGCUGGGGAAGGGACACAGGAAUCUGGAUGAAUUUGCUUGCUCUGUGGCCCCAGCUCACACCAAGCAGGGCAGGCAGACAUUGAUUUGAAUUGAACUGCAGUUCAUGGGAGCAAAAAGGGAGGUGGGAGUGUGAGCAGAGCUUGAUGGGGCACAGCACCCACCAGCCAGCCAUGUGAGCGGAGGGAGAUCCCAAGGGACACAUCCCAACCUUGAGCUAGAGGCUAUGGGGGGCCCCCUCCAGCUGUAGGAGGGACAUGGAGGGGCUGGAGCUGGCAACCAGAGUGUCCCAGUGUGGGAUGACUCCUCCCUUGCAUGAGCAAUUCAGACAUCACAGCCGACCUGGGCGUUUCUGGGAAGACUUCAGGAGCUCUCCCAGCCUUGCGGGGUUUGGCAGAACCACGGAUGGUCAGUGUUACCAAGGAGCCCCAGCCCUGCAGAGGGAUGGGGGUUUCGGGCAGGGCACACAGUGAGAAGGGGCAGGGGGGGACCCAGUGUCCUCCCCUGGGUAGGUGAUGAGGAUACAGGCUGGCACACAUUUCCAUGGGCAGCAGCAAGAGAUGCUGCUGGAGAUGCUGUGAGCCUGGGCAUUCUCUGUGGGCUGGUCCCCUUUUGCUCCACUGGUGUCUGUAGUCAUCGCAUCAGGGAUAUUGGUGGGGAUGUGCCAGUCUAGGGUCUUCAGGACCACCUCCCCAUCCUACUCUGAGAGUAAGCGGUGGCUGUGGACAGAAAUGUCUGCUGGAUCUGCUCAGCCUCUUUCUGCUGAGCCUCAGCAGGUGGCCCUGAUGGUGAUGUUGCAGGCUGCUGUGAGUAACAGCUCUGCAUCACCUUGUCCACCAGCUCUGUCAGUAUAUAGCCCUCCAUCGUCCUCCACUCCCGCCCCCUCGUUUCCUCCCAGAGCCCCCCCCCACCCCCCGCCCCGGUAGUCUUGCCCCUCAGGCAGCUGCUCCAUCCCCUCAAGUGUUGCGGAUGCUACUCACCCUGGCUCAAAUAGAUCCCUCUGAAGGUUUGGGGGACCAGACCUGCACCUCAUACCUGUGGUGUGGAUGCAGUAAGGUUUCAUGCAGCUGCAGAGCUGUACCCUUCUUAUCUUCCACUGGUGGUGUACGAGCGUGACUGUGCAGCGGGAAGGGAAACAAGUACCAUUUCCCACAGGCAGCCAAGAGGCAGAGACCCAAGGGCGAGACGCUGUGAUGAGGCAUGCAAGAAGCAUCCGUCUCGUCCCCUUUCCCAUGAAAUGCUUCUCUAGGUCCUUCAUCUGAUGUGUGCUGAGGUCUUGAUUUUCCCCUGGAGUGGAUGAGUCAUAGAGAAGCCGAGAGGGAGCAGGGGCUGCCAGGACAUCCCAGGUGCCUGUGUCUGUUGGGGAGACUUCAUGGAGGGAACAGGCACUGCCCAAGGGUGCAGGCAGAGAGCAGGAAGGAUGCCUGUGGUCCAGAGGUCUCAGGCUAGCUCUCUUCCUACUGGCACUGCACAGGGUUCCCAAGCCCUGGCAUAAGAAGGGGGAUCCCUCCUCUGGUCUCCCUUGUCCUUCCCUGGGGAGGAGGUUGCAUUGUGUGGGAGGGUGAGCUCUGAGCCAUGGCUCUGCUAAAUUAGCACCUGUGUAUCUGCUGGCUGUGGAGAAAAUGCUCUCGCUUGCCAUUGUCUCUCGAGUGUUGCUUGGUUCUUUUUUUGUGGAUAUCCAGCUUGGGAAUGGGACAGGCUGUCUCCAUCAUGUUGUGACUCCACCAGACAAUAACUCUCCAUAGCAUGUGGCCCAGGGAGGGAGGCAGAGGCCCCAGGACAUGGCCAGGGCUGGGGCCCCAUGCCCACCCAGCUUUAUGCACAGGACUCUAGGCUCUGUGAUGACAGGGGCUGUGCCAUAUGAUGCAAGGGGCUGCAGACAGGAGCCUGUCCUGUCCCUGCUGAGCUAGCAGGUGAUGCUGCAGUGGUCCCCUGGCUCACCUCCCUGCUGAGCUGCAGCGAUUCACGCUGUCCUGUUCCUUGCAUCCAUAGGAAGGAUGCAGGUGGGCUCCAGAUCCUGGAGCACUUCUGCUGCCGGCCAAGCCUCCAGCUACCCCCAUAACAUCUCCUUCUGCCCUUCACUAACGCGUCCACCAGAGCUGGCUGCUGGGCCCAGGCGCAGUGCUACUACACUCCAGACUUCCGGCACCCCAACCUGGCUUAGCUCAUCCCCCGUCUACAUGGGCGGGUAACGUGCUCCCCACUCAGCCAGGCUUUUGUGCUUGCCAGCUUUCCUAAUUGGGGGAAUAUCUGGAUUUCCAAUUAUUCCCACUCCCUGCCUGAGCUACUUGGGUCAUUUCCCAAACGCCCACCUUCAUGUCUGUACGUGCUUCACCUCCAGAAAGGAGGGAUGUCUUUUGCAGACCAAGAUGCUGUCAUGUCAUUUCUUGCCAGAUCCUUGCUGAAGAUGUCAGCUGAAGGGAGGGCAUGGUGCUGCCCUUUGCACCAGAUGUCCCUCCUGGACCAGCUCCUCCACCGCUGUCCUGGUGGGUCUGGGCCAUCAGCAGACACAGGGUUCUGAGGCAGAACAACGGCUGUGCCAGAGAGAUGCAGAACUGACUUAUGUCAGUUGUCCUGAGCACUCACACCCAGGGACUGCAGCUGGGAGAAUGUGGCUUUAACAUGGACAAAUGGCACAUCAAAGUGGCAGGAUCUGCCACAGCCACUGCUUGGGGGUUGGCACAGAUGGGACAGUCCUGCCUGUCCGUGUUUUUCAGCUCCCUCUGCUUGCUGCAGCCUUUGUUUUUCUGCACAGACGCUUGCCAAAUGUUGUCCUUUGCCUUCUUGUCCCUUAUUGCCCCCCUGGCCUCAAUCCUAUGGCUUCCACUUCUCCCCAGCCUUCUCACUAAGACCCCCCGUGAGAAACCACGGUGGCAGCAGGGCUAAACCCCCUGCCCACACCUCUGCUGCAUGUAAUGGGAGCAUCUCAAGGCAACCGUGCACAAGCAACUGUUUUUCAGCAGUGCUGCCAGUUCAUGGCACCCCUGCUGCUCCCACGGCACGGCUCCUUGAGCUGCCCGGCAGCCUGGGGACACACUGCCCUUCACAGCGCAGGGGCAGCCUGCUUUGGGAGGGGGACGUGGGUGCAUGAGUGCCAGCCCUGGAGUCACUGCCAGGGACGCGCCUGAGCUGUGGUAGCCAGCGUUUCCAACCCCUCCCUGCUGCUCAAAGGAGGGAAAACAGGCCAGUCAUCCCACAGGGUUGCCAGGGUGACAUUUUUUUUGGCCGUCGUGCUGUCUCAGCCGCUGAGCUGGCAGGGGCUGUGUGCUGGGAGCUGGGGCACCCUGUAUGUCCCUGCACCAGGGUGCCCCUGCCCAGGGCCACCCAGCAGCACAGGGC